CUAUUGUUCAGGAAACGCUCGCUCCAUCAUCACCUGAAGUUGUUUUUGAGGUGCUACAGGAAUUCACUCUCUUCACUAAACCACCCACAGAUGCUGCUGUGAAAGCUUCGCUCAGUGGAUCAUCUACAAACCAGAUAAGACCCUUCUUUCUCGGCUGGGAUCGUUUGAAGCUGCAUUUAAACUGCAUUUUUCGGGGCACCAUAUCAGUCCAUUAUAUGGAGAAAAAUGCUGAAAUUUCUUUAUGACUGAAGAAAGAAAGACAUGAACAUCUUGGACGACAAGGGGGUGAGUACAUUAUAUGUGAAUCUUUGUUUUGGAAGUGGACUUCUCCUUCAAGUUGAAAUGACCAAGCUGAUUAUACUUGGAAAUUAAAGCAGCAGCUGAGUGUUUUUAAGUUAAAAAAGGUGAAAUAUUUGUACAUUUAUCUGUAAAUAUUUUUACAUUUAGCUUUAAGUUAUCUGAAAAUAAUGUGAUGGAAAGUCUUUGAUUUAUUUUUAAUUAAAAAUAUGUCUAAAGCAUAUUA
This is a long non-coding RNA of Labeo rohita (rohu), 523 nucleotides long. RefSeq lists it as uncharacterized. Lineage: Eukaryota; Metazoa; Chordata; Actinopteri; Cypriniformes; Cyprinidae. The transcript has 3 exons. The record is from RefSeq and is a predicted model, not a curated record.